Molecule: ribosomal RNA, 984 nt
Filed under: uncultured Gammaproteobacteria bacterium
Lineage: Bacteria; Pseudomonadati; Pseudomonadota; Gammaproteobacteria
Description: bacterial SSU rRNA
Rfam family: Bacterial small subunit ribosomal RNA
Source: RNAcentral
AUGCAGUCGAGCGGUAACAUUUCCAGCUUGCUGGAAGAUGACGAGCGGCGGACGGGUGAGUAAAGCAUAGGAAUCUGGCCGAUAGAGGGGGAUAGCCCGGAGAAAUCCGGAUUAAUACCGCAUGUACUCUAAGGAGCAAAGCAGGGGAUCUUCGGACCUUGCGCUAUCGGAUGAGCCUAUGUCGGAUUAGUUAGUUGGUGGGGUAAAGGCCUACCAAGGCGACGAUCCGUAGCUGGUCUGAGAGGAUGAUCAGCCACAUCGGGACUGAGACACGGCCCGAACUCCUACGGGAGGCAGCAGUGGGGAAUAUUGCACAAUGGGCGCAAGCCUGAUGCAGCUAUGCCGCGUGUGUGAAGAAGGCCUUAGGGUUGUAAAGCACUUUCGGUAGUGAGGAAAAGUAUAGUGUUAAUAGCGCUAUACCGUGACGUUAACUACAGAAGAAGGACCGGCAAACUCCGUGCCAGCAGCCGCGGUAAUACGGAGGGUCCGAGCGUUAAUCGGAAUUACUGGGCGUAAAGGGCGCGUAGGCGGUUAUUUAAGUGAGAUGUGAAAUCCCCGGGCUUAACCCGGGAACAGCAUUUCAAACUGGAUAACUUGAGUAUGUUAGAGGGUGUUGGAAUUUCCCGUGUAGCGGUGGAAUGCGUAGAUAUGGGAAGGAACAUCGGUGGCGAAGGCGAACACCUGGAAUAAUACUGACGCUGAGGUGCGAAAGCGUGGGGAGCAAACGGGAUUAGAUACCCCGGUAGUCCACGCCGUAAACGAUGUCUACUAGCCGUUGGGAUUCAUAGAAAUCUUGGUGGCGCAGCAAACGCGAUAAGUAGACCGCCUGGGGAGUACGACCGCAAGGUUAAAACUCAAAUGAAUUGACGGGGGCCCGCACAAGCGGUGGAGCAUGUGGUUUAAUUCGAAGCAACGCGAAGAACCUUACCCGGUCUUGACAUCCUGCGAAUCUUUUAGAGAUAGAAGAGUGCCUUCGGGAGCGCA